AAGUCGUAACAAGGUUUCCGUAGGUGAACCUGCGGAAGGAUCAUUGUCGAAACCUGCAUAGCAAAACGACCUGUGAACAUGUUACAACAAUCUUGUCUCCUUAGAGUUGGGCUCUUGUUCGAUUCUUUGGAUUCCUUGUCGAUGUGCAUCUUUGGUUAGCCUAUCCGGUUCUAAAGAUGUUAUGUUGGCCUAAUAACAACCCCCGGCACGGCAUGUGCCAAGGAAAAUCAAACUUAAGAAGGGCUCGUAUCAAGCUCCCCCGUUUGUGGGGUUUUGCAUGGGACGUGGCUUCUUUGUAAUAAUAAACGACUCUCGGCAACGGAUAUCUCGGCUCACGCAUCGAUGAAGAACGUAGCAAAAUGCGAUACUUGGUGUGAAUUGCAGAAUCCCGUGAACCAUCGAGUUUUUGAACGCAAGUUGCGCCCAAAGCCUUUUGGCUGAGGGCACGUCUGCCUGGGCGUCACAUAUCGCGUCGCCCCUACCAUGCCUUCUUGAUAGGGAUGCUUGGAUUGGGGCGGAGAUUGGUCUCCCGUUCCUAUGGUGCGGUUGGCUAAAACUGGAGUCCUCUUCAACGGACGCAUGAUUAGUGGUGGUUGAGAAGACCCUCUUAUCAAGUUGUGUGUUCCAAGGAGCAGGGAAUAUCUCUUUAAUGACCCUUGUCGUUUUUAGACGAUGAUUUGACCGCGACCCCAGGUCAGGCGGGACUACCCGCUGAGUUUAA
This 721-nucleotide ribosomal RNA is filed under the name Petasites japonicus. RNAcentral describes it as "eukaryotic LSU rRNA". The stretch from base 308 to 463 matches the Rfam family "5.8S ribosomal RNA". The record is from RNAcentral. Lineage: Eukaryota; Viridiplantae; Streptophyta; Magnoliopsida; Asterales; Asteraceae.